AUAGCGUAUAUUAAAGUUGUUGCGGUUAAAAAGCUCGUAGUUGGAUUUCUGUUGAGGACGAUCGGUCCGCCUUCUGGGUGAGUAUCUGGCUCGGCCUUGGCAUCUUCUUGGAGCACGUACUGCACUUCACUGUGUGGUGCGGAAUCCAGGACCUUUACUUUGAGGGAAUUAGAGUGUUUCAAGCAGGCGCACGCCUUGAAUACAUUAGCAUGGAAUAAUAAGAUAGGACCUCGGUUCUAUUUUGUUGGUUUCUAGAGCUGAGGUAAUGAUUAAUAGGGAUAGUUGGGGGCAUUCGUAUUUAACUGUCAGAGGUGAAAUUCUUGGAUUUGUUAAAGACGGACUACUG
RNAcentral lists this ribosomal RNA (346 nucleotides) under uncultured eukaryote. Its description in RNAcentral is "SSU rRNA". It matches the Rfam family "Eukaryotic small subunit ribosomal RNA", at positions 594 to 945 of the family's 1831-position model. The record is from RNAcentral.